GAUGAACGCUAGCGGCAGGCCUAAUACAUGCAAGUCGAACGCUCAGUAGCAAUACUGGGAGUGGCGCACGGGUGCGUAACGCGUACACAAUCUACCUCUAAGCGGGGGACACCUCCUGGAAACGGGGAUUAAUACCGCAUAAUAUGCCGAGGUCGCAUGACUUUGGUAUUAAAGCAGCAAUGCACUUAGAGAUGAGUGUGCGUCCCCAUUAGGUAGUUGGUGAGGUAACGGCUCACCAAGCCUAUGAUGGGUAGCCGGUCUGAGAGGAUGGGUCGGCCACACGGGCACUGAGACACGGGCCCGACUCCUACGGGAGGCAGCAGUAAGGAAUAUUGGUCAAUGGUGGAAACACUGAACCAGCCAUGCCGCGUGGAGGAAUAAGGUCCUACGGAUUGUAAACUCC
Molecule: ribosomal RNA, 403 nt
Filed under: uncultured bacterium
Lineage: Bacteria
Description: bacterial SSU rRNA
Rfam family: Bacterial small subunit ribosomal RNA
Source: RNAcentral